GACGAACGCUGGCGGCGUGCUUAACACAUACAAGUCGAACGGAAAGGCCCUGCUUUUGUGGGGUGCUCGAGUGGCGAACGGGUGAGUAACACGUGAGUAACCUGCCCUUGACUUUGGGAUAACUUCAGGAAACUGGGGCUAAUACCGGAUAGGAGCUCCUGCUGCAUGGUGGGGGUUGGAAAGUUUCGGCGGUUGGGGAUGGACUCGCGGCUUAUCAGCUUGUUGGUGGGGUAGUGGCUUACCAAGGCUUUGACGGGUAGCCGGCCUGAGAGGGUGACCGGCCACAUUGGGACUGAGAUACGGCCCAGACUCCUACGGGAGGCAGCAGUGGGGAAUAUUGCACAAUGGGCGGUAGCCUGAUGCAGCAACGCCGCGUGCGGGAUGACGGCCUUCGGGUUGUAAACCGCUUUCGCCUGUGACGAAGCGUGAGUGACGGUAAUGGGUAAAGAAGCACCGGCUAACUACGUG
Molecule: ribosomal RNA, 468 nt
Filed under: uncultured bacterium
Lineage: Bacteria
Description: partial 16S ribosomal RNA
Rfam family: Bacterial small subunit ribosomal RNA
Source: RNAcentral